AAAGACUGAAUUCAGAAAGUCUUUGACCAAAGCAAGUAUGAAUACUGAAAAAGAGUUUAUACAGAAUUUAUAAAUGAACUCGAGUCGAGCCAAUCUAGCAUAUGACUGAUAAUGGGGUCUGACGAGUUCUCUAUGACCUCUGUCAAGUUAGAACUCAUGAUAGAAAGACUGAAUCAUACGAUAACUGCACCUAGGAGUUUGUUCAUUCAUUCUACUAGAUGUCAUUAGUAGAUUGUGGGACUCAUCGAACAUCAUCUUGAUGAUUGAUGACCCUUAAAAGAUAGAAUUAGAAAUAUUUCAAUCCAUCGAAAAGAGUUUCGAUGAUAUUGUGUUAGAGAUCACAAUAUAUCUCACUACC
RNAcentral lists this long non-coding RNA (358 nucleotides) under Elaeis guineensis (African oil palm). Its description in RNAcentral is "long non-coding RNA (EGUI_LNC077298)". Lineage: Eukaryota; Viridiplantae; Streptophyta; Magnoliopsida; Arecales; Arecaceae. The record is from RNAcentral.